This 243-nucleotide ribosomal RNA is filed under the name uncultured bacterium. RNAcentral's name for it is "partial 16S ribosomal RNA". It matches the Rfam family "Bacterial small subunit ribosomal RNA", at positions 534 to 776 of the family's 1533-position model. The record is from RNAcentral.
GCAAGCGUUACUCGGAAUUACUGGGCGUAAAGCGUGCGUAGGGGGUUUGUUAAGUCUGUUGUGAAAGCCCCGGGCUCAACCUGGGAAUGGCAAUGGAUACUGGCAAGCUAGAGUGCGGUAGAGGGUAGUGGAAUUCCCGGUGUAGCGGUGAAAUGCGUAGAGAUCGGGAGGAACACCAGUGGCGAAGGCGGCUACCUGGACCAGCACUGACACUGAGGCACGAAAGCGUGGGGAGCAAACAGG